Molecule: ribosomal RNA, 253 nt
Filed under: uncultured bacterium
Lineage: Bacteria
Description: partial 16S ribosomal RNA
Rfam family: Bacterial small subunit ribosomal RNA
Source: RNAcentral
UACGGGGGGAGCAAGCGUUGUUCGGAUUUACUGGGCGUAAAGAGCGUGUAGGCGGCCCGGUAAGUCCGCUGUGAAAGUCGGGGGCUCAACCCUCGAAUGCCGGUGGAUACUGUCGGGCUAGAGUGCGGAAGAGGCGAGUGGAAUUCCUGGUGUAGCGGUGAAAUGCGCAGAUAUCAGGAGGAACACCAAUUGCGAAGGCAGCUCGCUGGGACGUAACUGACGCUGAGACGCGAAAGCGUGGGGAGCAAACAGG